Syzygium oleosum is the source of this 506-nucleotide long non-coding RNA. RefSeq lists it as uncharacterized. Lineage: Eukaryota; Viridiplantae; Streptophyta; Magnoliopsida; Myrtales; Myrtaceae. The record is from RefSeq and is a predicted model, not a curated record. The transcript is spliced from 2 exons.
AUGAGAUGCUGUUUGACACCUGACGUGGGUGCAAAAAAGACAGUGGGAUUCAAUCCCGAGGAAGAAGCGCAGCAGCAGAGAUUGGUCAUCGCCAUUUUCACUGUUUUCCAAACUGAGUUAGUUGGAUGCAUGGAGACCUGAGGAUGUGAACUUUGGUGGAGAUUGAUUUGGUGCAGCCCUAGUAUACCAAAGCAUGGGUUUUUCUCUUGGUUAGCAAUGCGUGAUUGGCUUGCUACCAAAGACAGAUUUGAUCAAACGGCAUAUGCGAGUCGAUUCUAUUUGCUGUAUGUGCAAUGUGGGGCUGGAAGACAGACGCUUUUUUUGGUUGUUUCUGCUUCUAAAGGGAAAUCAUUUCCAUGUUUGUAUCUCAAGCUCUCAGGGAAUUGGAAUUCGUGUCACAUUUGGAUGACAACGAACAAAUGCUUUCAUGUUUCUUCUUUCAUUAAAAUACUGAUUUGAUUGUAUAGAAGAUAGUGUUAUCAUACCGAUCGAUAAUGUGAUCCCAC